GAGUUGGCGUCCUUAUUUUCUCAAGCAAGCGUAGGUUCAGUGGAAUGGGAGCAUUAUUUUUGAAGGGCCAAGGCUGCAUAGUUUGUACGCACAUCAAAGAGAAACUUGGAAUGUUUUUGUGCUUGGAUCUCGUUCGGAAGUACUACAUCAUGCAAUACCCAAGUAAGUGGCGUCACCUGAUGAGCUCCACGCGCAGAGGAGGCGUCUCCAUGGGUUCCCCGAGGUGAGCGCGAUGCUGAUGCUCAAAUUAUCUUUUGAGUUAAUGCAUGAGUGAUAAUCAUGCAAAGUACAGUGUAUUACUAUUCCCUUAUGAGAAAAUUUUAUCUUGCUCCCAGGAACAACAAGACAUUUGAAUUGGUUGCCGAUGACUUAUCAAUUCUUUGAAAUAGACUACGAUCCAUGGUGGCUGUUGAGGUUAGUAAUUAGUGCAUGCUACUCAUAUCAACACUCUGGUGCUAGGCUGCUGAUGGCAUGUUGUUUGGAUGUUUCUUUUAAGACUUUGUUUGGCAAAUACAAAUUAAUUAUUAAGAAAUAUACUAAUUCUGUGUGAAGCUCCACAACAUAAAUUUGCAAUGUGUAGAUAGAAGUUGAAAUCAUAAGCAACAAUGCAACAUAGGAUAGUUUACCUGUAGACUGAGGUGUCUCCGGACAGAUAUGAGGAAGUUAUUUACCUUCCACUGAGAAAGAAUAGAUUGUUGUGAGUUUCCACUCGAAAAAGUUAUCUAGAAUAGGAUUAGCAUCUUUUAAUCCUGUCGAGUCGGUGUAUUGAUACUGUUCAUAAUCAUGGCGCACUUGUACUGUUUGCAGAAAUCUUCACUUUGGAACUUGAUAAAAGAUGUAAAACCUUCGGAUCUAAGUAUAGUCCAUAGAGAUGUCCCUCCUGAAACUGUUGAUGCAAUGAAAAGGACUGUUUCAGGCAUAUUGGGUCUGCUUCCGUCUGAUAAGUGAGAGGGCGACCCCUGGCUCGGUACUUAUUUAUUUUGGUUAUUACCACAUGCAUGUAAAGCACCCCAACCAUUAGACAUUUAAUUCCAUCACAAAUAGUAAGAUCCACACGGAUAAUAUCUCCACUCAGUUAUUCAAUGAAUUGCUCUAAGAUUAAAUUGUGCCUCACCGAUAUUUUUAUGAGUCUACUAUUUAUACACUCAUACACAGAGUAAUCGCAAAAGAUCGUGGCAUAAUUUUGGUACAAACAGGUACCUUGAUCAACUUGGAAUGGCAUCGAAGUACAACACAAAAGUGUUCUGCAGGCGGACUCUCAUCGGAGGCAACUACGGUUUGCUUGACACGAAGACAUUCUUACCUAUCCUAAUUACUACAGGCAAGACUCACAUUUGUAAAAAAAAUUGUAGUCAGUCGCUGCAAUGUUUUCUAGAACGUGGCUCAUAUGUGUUGAUCCCUCCUUCUGUUCUCAGUGCUCUGCUAGGGCAUCGGCUUAUGGGCAAUGGAGUUCUCUCAGUUGAUAUAAAUGCACCGCGCAAGCUGCGUGCUUAUGCUCACUUCAGCAAGCGACACGUAAGAAUCCGACGUUGUGUCAUUCUUAAAGUGAACUGCUUGAGAUACUUUAUAUUUGUUACCAAUGUUGAAGUGAUAUGGCUGUUCUUCUUAACUUGCUAAGUUACUUGUGUCUGAAGAGUUACUUCAACUACCAUUGAAACAUCAGCUUGAUCAAUCAUUUCUGCUGUUCUCAGCAAAGCUUUGCAUAUUCCACAAUGCAGAAAGGUGUCAUACUCCUCCUGUUCAACCUAAGCAGCAGCACUGGGUACAACGCGACCCUCUAGAACGACCUCAAGUCCUCAACCUGAACUUCAAAAAAAUAAGCGGCCACUAGAGGCGCAGCGGCGGCCUCAGAAGAGCGGUGUCAUGGCUGGGAAGCAAGCCGUUG
Molecule: long non-coding RNA, 1885 nt
Organism: Aegilops tauschii subsp. strangulata
Lineage: Eukaryota; Viridiplantae; Streptophyta; Magnoliopsida; Poales; Poaceae
Source: RefSeq, a predicted model, not a curated record